CUUGAUCUCGCCGGUCGAAUGAGAAAGCUAUUUGCGGAAGAUAUGGGUCGGCCACCCCGAAUGCAAAGGUUGGUCGGCUUCACUCUUUUUCUCGGCUGCUUCCCCAUCCAAGGUAAAGGCGUGUACCUUUAUGAAACGGUUUACGUCGUACAAACGAUGAGCAGCGUACCUCUAUUACUUAGCUGUUCAAGCAGCCGGACAUUGUAGCACCAUCCCCUCAUACCACAACACUAGUAAACGUUCAGUUUUGUCAAACAAACUGGACAGCUCUUUAUUCCUUUCUUAAGAAGAUAUCAACUUCAGAAGCUGCCAGCAGAUGUCAAUACGAUCUGUAUUAACGAUGCAUGGUAACAUUGCGAUAGAUUUGUUAUAUAUAACCUCUUCCAAUUACUUAAUUAUCUUUUUGAACUUAUGUUAUAACGUCAUAAAAUAUCACUUAAAACAUUUCGACAAAGAAUUAAAAGUUUGCUUAAAGGAUGUUUAAAGAUUCUCAAUAUUCAUUGGGAAUUCAGAAACGAAAGUUGCUCUUCUCAUUGUUAAAUGAAUGGAACGGUGUACAAAGAAGCUACGAUUUCAAGGGGGUGAUUCCCAACAUGGAUCAGGUAGAUAGGCGGAAUAACGAGCAAGGAAGAAUCACGAAGCUACUUGACGCUAAUUGCGCAGGACGCUUAUCGUUACAUUUACUCACGAAUCAGAGACUGUUGAGUAUAUGUAUAUGUAUUACAACACGAAUAACUUGAGUGGCUUGACUAAUGAUCGUGGAAAAAAGACAGAAUAACGACCUCCGAUCGCUUCUUACAUUCACAUGCUGCUAUACAAUGCGUAUACACUGAAUAAGUAUCAAAAAUUGUCAUCUUUCAUAGAAAUUUUCUAUCUCUAUCUAUAUGGACAAACGAUUCAACCAGUUGAUUCGAACUUCGAUAUAGAAAGCUAUACGUUACUUUCUUUUUCUUUAUUCCUCUUUUCCUUUUUCCUUUUGAAUUCGUUAUACCAAUGCAAUACUAGAACCUCGUUAACGUGGAUAAAAAGUAAUACGGGGGAAACCGAAUAUUCGUUAUGUGUGUGCAAAGUGUAGUAAUGUAACGUAAAGUCACUCAAACUUUCGAGACAAGAGAUAUGUGCGUCAUCAUCGAGGUGCGUGGGUGAUGAAAAGAUCAAUGUACGAAGCCGGUCUGCCGUCUGCAUUUAAUCUCCGCGAAUAACAUUUCUCAUCUCAAUUUGGAUUUAUUCAUUUACUCGUUUUCAAUUAAAACGAAUAAUAAAUAAACGAAAAUAAUGCAAAUACUUUGUAAAAUUUUUAAAAUUAUUCGUUUGAAAAUUUCCAGUUCAUACAGCUCUUUUUGUAAAGGAAUCUUAUUUUAAUUAAUAUUAAUCUUUUAUUAAAAUAUCUAAGAUUACUUUUUGAUAAUCUAUAGAAUUAUUUUUAUAGACAUAUCUUUUAUACUAUGCAAUUUAAAAAUUUAAACGUAUAAAAUAUAAAAAAAGGAAAGAAUUUCAAGAAGAACUUUUACAGGAACGAAUUUCAUCGAUGUCAUUAAAAAACAACAUUUGAUCUGAACUGAAAGCAUAUUCGUAGCAAGCUAUAGAGGAGCAGAUGUUUUGUAGAAAAUAUUACGAACGAUUUUUAGUUAGAGAAAGUCGACUCUGCCUUGUGUGUCGGUGCAAAUAAAAUCGGACCCUAAAUAGCACGUCUGGCGAGGGGUUAAAACACCCGUUGGAAAUAAAAAAGGCACUGCGCGCACGGUCCUUCUGCAUAACGGCAUGUGUACCCCUUCUAUGUGUACAUGUGUAACUUUAUGACAGACAUGUGUAUACAAAUUUCAAAUGAUACGCUCGCCUCAAUUGAUCAUAGCCCGUCUGACCGUAAAAUUCGCAUAGCAGACGAAAAAUCGUAAAAUGUACGAAAAAAAACUGUAAGUUGCGAAAUGAAACAUGGAAAUCACUUAUUUUAUAUAUUGUAUCAAAUUGAUAGAAAUAUUUUUAUAAUUUGUGAAAUAUUUGAAUAAGAAAUUAUUUGAAUAACCAUUGCAAUUAUUAUUCGGCUUAAAAGUAUGUAAUUAUAUAAUUGAAUUUAAGUGAAAUUUAUGCAUGGCUACGUUAAUCAAAGUAAUAAAGAUUCUGUGAUAUCGUUUUAAAAAAUGAAUGGAAGUAGAAAUUGUUCUUUCGUUUAUUAUAAUUUUAAAAUAAAAAAUUGCUGAACCAAAACGAUCGAAGAAAAGAAAAUAUAUUGCGCAUGUAAAAUAUAAAAUAAAAAAAUAAAUAAUAAAUGAAAAUAUUUUAAACAAGAA
Long non-coding RNA from Apis cerana (Asiatic honeybee), 2288 nucleotides. RefSeq lists it as uncharacterized. The record is from RefSeq and is a predicted model, not a curated record. NCBI's taxonomy places the organism in Eukaryota, Metazoa, Arthropoda, Insecta, Hymenoptera, Apidae.